CGAACGGGUGAGUAAUGCGUGACCAACCUGCCCCAUGCUCCAGAAUAGCUCUUGGAAACGGGUGGUAAUGCUGGAUGCUCCAACUUGACGCAUGUCUUGUUGGGAAAGUGUUUAGUGGCAUGGGAUGGGGUCGCGUCCUAUCAGCUUGUAGGCGGGGUAAUGGCCCACCUAGGCUUCGACGGGUAGCCGGCCUGAGAGGGCGGACGGCCACAUUGGGACUGAGAUACGGCCCAGACUCCUACGGAGGCAGCAGGU
This 255-nucleotide ribosomal RNA is filed under the name uncultured Gardnerella sp. Its description in RNAcentral is "partial 16S ribosomal RNA". It matches the Rfam family "Bacterial small subunit ribosomal RNA", at positions 99 to 354 of the family's 1533-position model. The record is from RNAcentral. Lineage: Bacteria; Bacillati; Actinomycetota; Actinomycetes; Bifidobacteriales; Bifidobacteriaceae.